UGUGGACCUCGACCCCAUCACGUCGCCCGGAGUGAGCUCCCCUAGCAAAACUCUUUCAUCGCCGAUGAUUGCGUCGAUCAUCGCAUCGUCGCAUCGUGACGAAGGACUGAUGGCGAAGAUCCUGCUUGAUUGCAGAACUUGAAGCUGAUUCUAGGGUGGAACCUGUUCAGUGAAUUCUUGAGCAACAUGAGAAGCAUAUGCAGAUGUAGAUGAUGAUCUCAAAGGUGAUCAGCACAGAAGAGAGAUAACAGUCACAGAUAAAGUACAAGCAUGGAUAUUUGAUGUAUGGUACUGACUGGACUUCUUGUUUAUUGAUAUUUGGUCCAAAUACUUUUAUCCUCUCAGCUGAAAAUGAAAGAGGCUUGUAGGAUGUUGGGACAACUUGCAGGAAGACAGACCAUACUACCAGCUAUACUAUAGCCAUCAAAUGAUUGCAAAAGCAAUUGGCCAUGAUUUUGUGACAUUUGCUGAAAAAGUUCUUACAUUAAAUAGAAAUGUUAAGAACAUUGUUAUUGUUGUUGCAUACAAUAAAUGUUUCAAAAUUUU
Pomacea canaliculata is the source of this 546-nucleotide long non-coding RNA. RefSeq lists it as uncharacterized. The transcript is spliced from 2 exons. Lineage: Eukaryota; Metazoa; Mollusca; Gastropoda; Architaenioglossa; Ampullariidae. The record is from RefSeq and is a predicted model, not a curated record.